This 68-nucleotide ribozyme is filed under the name unclassified sequences. RNAcentral describes it as "HDV ribozyme from F. prausnitzii". It matches the Rfam family "HDV ribozyme from F. prausnitzii". The record is from RNAcentral.
GCUGCUCAAGUAUGCUACCUCUUCGUGGUGAGCAGCAGGCAACGGAUAUCCAUUCGGCUAAAGCAUAU